GGGGAAUAUUGCGCAAUGGGCGAAAGCCUGACGCAGCGACGCCGCGUGAGGGAUGAAGGCCUUCGGGUUGUAAACCUCUUUCAGCAGGGACGAAGCGAAAGUGACGGUACCUGCAGAAGAAGCACCGGCCAACUACGUGCCAGCAGCCGCGGUAAUACGUAGGGUGCAAGCGUUGUCCGGAAUUAUUGGGCGUAAAGAGCUCGUAGGCGGUCUGUCGCGUCGGCUGUGAAAACUCGGGGCUCAACCCCGAGCCUGCAGUCGAUACGGGCAGACUAGAGUGCUGUAGGGGAGACUGGAAUUCCUGGUGUAGCGGUGAAAUGCGCAGAUUUCAGGAGGAACACCGGUGGCGAAGGCAAUCCCCUGGGCCUGCACUGACGCUCAUGCACGAAAGCGUGGGGAGCAAAC
Molecule: ribosomal RNA, 405 nt
Filed under: uncultured bacterium
Lineage: Bacteria
Description: bacterial SSU rRNA
Rfam family: Bacterial small subunit ribosomal RNA
Source: RNAcentral